AACCUAGCACACCUGCGGUGUGUACCUGCGGAGGGAUCAUUAACCUUUCAAAUCAGGGUGCGGCGCGGCCCCCGAGGAGCGGAAACGAUCCUUGGGAGGUAUGCGGGGGCUUCGAGCCCCCCAUUUACGCACGCACGACUGCCAUCCUUACUUUACGAGCACCUUCUGUUCUCCCUCGGCGGGGCAACCUGCCGUUGGAACCGAAUAAACUCUUUUUGCAUCUAGCAUUACCUGUUCCGA
Molecule: unclassified non-coding RNA, 240 nt
Filed under: soil metagenome
Description: partial contains 5.8S ribosomal RNA, internal transcribed spacer 2, and large subunit ribosomal RNA
Source: RNAcentral